Molecule: long non-coding RNA, 310 nt
Organism: Thamnophis elegans (Western terrestrial garter snake)
Lineage: Eukaryota; Metazoa; Chordata; Lepidosauria; Squamata; Natricidae
Exons: 3
Source: RefSeq, a predicted model, not a curated record
AUGCCGUUCGACACGGUUCCUCCUGCGGCGGAACGCCAAGAAGGAAGGAGACCUGCUCGCUGCCCAGGCCCGCCUGAAGGAUGUGGAGGCCCUGCUCAACUCCAAGGAGGCUGCGCUCAGCACCGCCUUGGGGGAGAAGCGCAACCUGGAGGCUGAAGUCCGUGACCUCAGAGGCCAGCUGGCCAAGGUGGAGGGAUCCUUGGCCGACAUCAAGAAGCAGCUUCAGGAUGAAAUGCUGCGGAGGGUGGAUGCGGAGAACAGGCUGCAGACCCUGAAGGAGGAGCUGGACUUCCAGAAAAACAUCUACAGC